This 301-nucleotide ribosomal RNA is filed under the name uncultured bacterium. RNAcentral's name for it is "partial 16S ribosomal RNA". It matches the Rfam family "Bacterial small subunit ribosomal RNA", at positions 509 to 807 of the family's 1533-position model. The record is from RNAcentral.
CAGUCGCCACGGUAAUACGAAGGGGGCUAGCGUUGUUCGGAUUUACUGGGCGUAAAGCGCACGUAGGCGGACUUUUAAGUCAGGGGUGAAAUCCCGGGGCUCAACCCCGGAACUGCCUUUGAUACUGGAAGUCUUGAGUAUUGUAGAGGUGAGUGGAAUUCCGAGUGUAGAGGUGAAAUUCGUAGAUAUUCGGAGGAACACCAGUGGCGAAGGCGGCUCACUGGACCAUUACUGACGCUGAGGUGCGAAAGCGUGGGGAGCAAACAGGAUUAGAUACCCCGGUAGUCCCUGUCUCUUAUAC